CUAUUAUAACAUUAUACACAUCUUGGAAAAAUAACCAAUGAACUGUUGAAGUACCCAGAAAUAGAAACUAGAAACUCACGCGCUUGCUGUACAGUGUAGGGUGGACAUGGACAAUCUGGCAUCUCUUCCCCAUUUCUAAAGAUGAAAUGGCAAGUCAUCAAUGCUCAGAAAGGCUGUACACAGAAUCCACAUACCUCUCGACGUCCCAGAGGAAAGAGCCAAACGUGACAGCUUCCAACACCAAGUGUUUCAACGAAGGGUAGGUGACUGAGACCGGCUCAUCUUCAACGUUCUGUCCCGCCUUGUCCAGGAAAAGAGCCCGACUAUGCUUCUCAAUCAGAUCGACUGCCUCUCGCGACUUCAGCCUCGCACAGAUCUGCAGAGAUUUGGGGUCAAACUUCAUAACGUAGCUCCUCAGAUUUUUUAUUCUUCUGGGCCUCCUCUGAGAGUACGAAGGGUAGGCAGCAUCAUCCUCUGUGCAGGCAGGGCCAAAGGGGUGCCGCUGCUUUAUGUACUGCGGAUGAUUCACGCUUGGCAUCUGGAUCAGGUAGCUCAAAGGGUAAUCUUUGCUGGUAAGAGAGAAGAGGUACUCCAGAUGGUGCCUCAGGCA
This 610-nucleotide long non-coding RNA is filed under the name Spirodela polyrhiza (greater duckweed). Its description in RNAcentral is "long non-coding RNA (SPOL_LNC002689)". The record is from RNAcentral. Lineage: Eukaryota; Viridiplantae; Streptophyta; Magnoliopsida; Alismatales; Araceae.